Wyeomyia smithii (pitcher-plant mosquito) is the source of this 708-nucleotide long non-coding RNA. RefSeq lists it as uncharacterized. The record is from RefSeq and is a predicted model, not a curated record. The transcript is spliced from 3 exons. NCBI's taxonomy places the organism in Eukaryota, Metazoa, Arthropoda, Insecta, Diptera, Culicidae.
CCAAAGAAUCCGAUUUUGGGGAAACUGUGGAUGGACUUGUGCUGUUUGCAGGCAUACUAUUUUACCACCGGAAACACCCGAUUUUGCAGUGUAAGUAAAUUAUAAAAUGAUUGCGAGUGAUGGAUAAAAUGAUUUUUUUUCCAUUUUGAAUAGCUUCAUGUGAAUUACGAGCUGGAUCUGUACGUGGCCGCAGCCAACGGGAAGCUGAGAACUAUACCUGGUGCACCUCAAGGUUUCCAAUGCCGAAGAGAGACUGCUUCUGACGUUGGCACUGCUGCUGCUUCUGGACAACUACUGCUGCUGGGGCUACUGCUGCUACUGGGAUUACUGUUGUUGAUGGGACUCUUGCUACCGCUGCUGGCAUUGCUGCCGACCAUAAAUUUUUUUCUCCAAGCAUUUCCGUGAAAACUAUUACAGCAUGGUUCAACGAUCAACUGAAAGGUUCAGAAAGGUUCGAAGGGAUCGGUAGACUAACUUCAGCGGGAAAACCAAGAUACCAAUAGUUCAGCAGUUGCGACAUCAAUCGGACAAGCAAGCCUACACAACUUAAACGCUGCGUUCGUAUACGUGUUUUGUCGUUACCAGGAACAAUUAAAUUAAGUAAUUUAAAGGAAAUCAGAGAAAAAAUAUCAUAUGUUUCCAUUAAACUCUACUAGAAAUUUGGGAAGUUUAGUUUUUAAGACUCUGCGCCACUCUAUUCACUCUGGU